Long non-coding RNA from Scleropages formosus (Asian bonytongue), 913 nucleotides. RefSeq lists it as uncharacterized. The transcript is spliced from 4 exons. The record is from RefSeq and is a predicted model, not a curated record. NCBI's taxonomy places the organism in Eukaryota, Metazoa, Chordata, Actinopteri, Osteoglossiformes, Osteoglossidae.
UGGUCUGUUUGGAGGGCAAGGCUUGUCUUGUUUGCAUUCUUGUUCCCUUCCUUCUCUGUGAAUAUCUCUCGAUAGUCUCCCCCAGUUCGUUAACCUAGAAGCAAUUUACCUUUGCCGUACACCUCUAGAUUCCUGGGAUAAUCUGCAAUUUGACAUUUACUAAAUCAGCUUUGUGCUUGACAGAGCGAAACUGAAGAAAGCAACCACUGCAUUGAAGCACGGAGACAGGAGUGUUAAGUUUUCCCCUCUAAGUGUGGAGAACAUGCCCACCAUACCAGGCAAUACCACUCAGGGCCUAUCCUUGCUGCCUUGUGAUGCUGAACUAUGCCAUAGCAAUGGCCGUUGCUUUGUGCUUGAUAAGAAGAUCAACUGUGAGUGCUGGCUUGGCUACAGUGGGGAAUUUUGUGAGAACCGGGUCAGCAAACCUAUCGGCGUUCAGCUCACACUGGGGGUCCUUGGCUGCAUCAUUGGCUUAGUGGGCCUUGCCUUCCUCCUCGCCUUCUUCAAGAAAAGGGCCGUGGUGUCCAAGAGGAAAGUACCUGCUGCUUCAAAGGAAACCAAGAAGAGGAACGCAAGCAAAGACCCCCUUUGAUAUGGAACGGUCAACUUUGCAGCAGGGACAUUCUCAUCUGCAUUGCCUUCUUCCUGCUGCUGAUUUUGUUGAAUUAAGGUGGCAUUUCACUGUAAUCAGCUGGAUAAGCAGGUAUUGCAGGAUGCUUUGCUCUGUGGCUGGAAUUACAUUUGUUACCAGUACUGCUUAUACUAAGCUGGUAAGCAAAUUGGUGUAAGAGUUACAUGCUGUAUGUUUUACUUUGAGAAGCAUUUUCCCUGGGUCUUACAUUACAAUAACUGAACUGCAUAUUGCUUCUGUUGUAACUUUGGGCAUAAAUCUUCAUGAUGCUAUUUUAAUUGU